ACACAGUGGAGCAGCUACCACACUAAAAACGGGCGGAACCGAAAAGCCAGAUGAGUAGGGACAAAA
Non-coding RNA from Chitinophaga ginsengisegetis, 66 nucleotides. NCBI's taxonomy places the organism in Bacteria, Pseudomonadati, Bacteroidota, Chitinophagia, Chitinophagales, Chitinophagaceae. The record is from Rfam.